This 425-nucleotide ribosomal RNA is filed under the name uncultured cyanobacterium. Its description in RNAcentral is "bacterial SSU rRNA". It matches the Rfam family "Bacterial small subunit ribosomal RNA", at positions 356 to 795 of the family's 1533-position model. Lineage: Bacteria; Bacillati; Cyanobacteriota. The record is from RNAcentral.
GGGGAAUUUUCCGCAAUGGGCGAAAGCCUGACGGAGCAACGCCGCGUGAGGGAGGAAGGCCUGUGGGUUGUAAACCUCUUUUCUCAAGGAAGAACACAAUGACGGUACUUGAGGAAUCAGCAUCGGCCAACUCCGUGCCAGCAGCCGCGGUAAGACGGAGGAUGCAAGCGUUAUCCGGAAUUAUUGGGCGUAAAGCGUCCGUAGGUGGUUAUAAAAGUCUGUUGUUAAAGCCCACAGCUCAACUGUGGAUCGGCAAUGGAAACUGUAUGACUUGAGUGUGGUAGGGGUAGAGGGAAUUCCUAGUGUAGCGGUGAAAUGCGUAGAUAUUAGGAAGAACACCAGUGGCGAAGGCGCUCUACUGGGCCAUAACUGACACUGAUGGACGAAAGCUAGGGGAGCGAAAGGGAUUAGAUACCCCUGUAGUC